ACAGGCAUGCACCACCACACCUGGCUAACUUUUGUAUUUUUACUAGAGAUGGAGUUUCACCAUGUUGCCCAAGCUGGUCUUGAAUUUCUGGGCUCAAGCAAUCUCCCUGCCUUGGCCUCCCAAAGUGCUGGAAUUACAGGAGUGAACCACUGCACCUGGCUGAAAUGUGACGGGGUCUCAUCCUGUUGUCCAGGCUGGAGUGCAAUGGUGUUAUCAGUGCUCACUGCAGGCUUAUCCUCCUGGGCUCAAGUGAUUCUCCCACCUCAGUCUCCCGAGUAGCUGGGACUACAGAGUCUUCUGCUGGUGCCCCAGAGGCUGCAUCCAGGCCCCGAGAACACUGAGGCCCCAAGAACACCGAGGGACUGUGCUGUCUGGCUGCUCAUGGAGCCUCCGGCCGGUGGCCCUUGCGGUGGAUGACCAGCUGAGACUUCCAGUCGAAGGCGCGGCCACAGUCACUGCAGAAGUGGCGCCUCUGGCCUGUGUGGCUCUUGCGGUGGAUGACCAGCUGCGACUUCCAGCUGAAGCUGCACCCGCACUCCUCGCACGGGUAGCUCCGGGGGCCUGUGAGUGAACGUCGGGGGUGGCGCGGAAAGGCCAGCUCCCCUUGUGGUGGCUUCUCUGUGCCUUCCCCGGUGGCUAGCCCUGGGGACUGCACACCUGGCCCACUCGUGUGUGUCCGGUGGUGGAUGACGAACACCGACUUCCAGUCGAAGCCGCGGCCACACUGCUCGCACGUGUAGGGCUUCCUGGGGGUGGCAACCGGCUCCAGUCUCGUCUCUGCAGGUGUGGGCUGAGUGGGCACUGGUGGUGUCCCUGGGCGCACAGUGGGGGCAGGAGUGGCAGCCCCAGACAAGCCCUCCCAGGCUGCAGGACCUGGGCCCUGGGGCGGCUGGGCCUCUGGGCAGCCGGGUGGACCCUCACUCUCAUUUCCUGGGGGCAGGGGCAAACCAGGUGAGUCCCGGCACUCGGCACCCCCUCCCUCAGGCUUGUGGCUGUGGCACAAGCUCCCGUGUCCCCAUGAGUGGGUGGCUCAGGUCCCACCCAUACAGGAGGGGUGAUUCAGGCUGGAUGGUGUGGGGCACUCACCCGAGUGCAGGCUUCUGCAGACGCCUGUCCCCGUGAGCAGCAUCCCCAGCUCUGACUGGGCUUGUGCCUCUGGCUGGUGGGGCGGUAACCCUGCCCAGGUGGGGGGCACAGUUAGGCGUGGGGUUUACAUGAAGGAGGGGUGGGGUCGGUUCUGGUAGGUGACAGGGUGCUCCUCUGGAAGGUGGGAGAGCUGGGUAGGGCUGGUAGCACAGAGGCCCUGCCCAGCUAGGCCUGCUGCAGGGUGGGUGCAGGCCCCAAGGAGAGGGGCGGGGUGGGGCUGGCUGGUCCUCACCCAGGGAGACCACCGUGCCGUACUUCUCCAGCAUCGCGUCCCAGUACAGUUCCUUCUGUGACCGGUCCAGCAGCCCCCACUCCUCCUGCGGAUGUGGCCCAUCACUGUAGGCGUCCUUCCACCCCUCCCCUGCCCUGUCUGGUUCACAUUCUUACCUAUUAACCCGGGGGGGUCAGCAGGUUACCUAGGCCUCAUCUGCCCCUCCUGCUGAGAAUGAUCUCGAGGUGGGUGUUUGUUAAGUGCUGGGUUCUCCUUCAGACCACCUGACUAGUGCUGCCGCCAGCGCUCAUCCCCCUCUACUACCCCCUCCUGCUGAGAGGGCAGGCUUGGCAGCAUCACAGGGACCUGAGUGACUUUAUCGAGGAAUGAACUCCCUGAUUGGGGGUCAGCCCUCCUUGCUGCCUGAGUCCCAUCAUCUGGGGCUUUGCUGGGUUGGGAAAAAUAAUCCUGAGGGACAAGCUGUGGCAAGUCCAGGGACAGGAAGGUGGCAGCUGUGAGGAGCCACAGCUAGAGAUGGUGCUGGCUGGAGGUGAGGACACUGGCAAGUGCAGCCUACCCACCCUGCCUCACUUUCUGACUGUGCCAUGGGGCUGUGGAGGGAGCCUGGAAGGACUUCUUAGCCUCAAAACACAUCUCAGCCAGCAAUGUUGCUGCUGAAGCUCCCCAGUGAGGUUGUCAGAAGCAGAGGAGCCGGGAGAGGAAAAGACCUCGCUACCCACACUUGGGAACCAAGUGAUCCAGGUAGAAGGGGCCUCAAGCUGAGCUUCUAGGCCCACAGGUGGCCUCUGAGAAAACCCCUGGGAGAGAAGGGACUUAGGGCAUUUCCCAGGGAGAGUGUCUCCAUCUGGUCUCAGGCGUGGGGGGAGUCCUGCCACAGCUGGUCAUCUUUUCCCCUCCCCAGCUACGCACGAAAGUUCAAAUCCCCAGGUCUGGCUCAGGACCUCUGGGAGCAGCAAACCUCCCAAAUGACUUCUCCGGAGGUGAGGAAGCCAAGCCCACUAGUUCCAGCCACUCUAAACUGGGUUUCCAUGGCUUGAGGCCCAAAUCCUUUUUUUUUGUUUUUGACACAGAAUUUUGCUCUUGUUGACCAGGCUGGAGCGCAGUGGCACAAUCUCGGCUCACUGCAACCUCUGCCUCUUGGGUUCGAGCGACUGUGCUGCCUCACCCUCCCUAGUAGCUGGGAUUACAGGCACCUGCCACCACUUCUGGCUAAUUUUUGUAUCUUUAGUAGAGACAGGGUUUCACCACACUGGCCAGGCUGGUCUCGAGCUCCUGACCUCAGGUGAUCCGACCACCUUGGCCUCCCAAAGUGCAAGGAUUACAGGUGUAAGCCACCAUGUCCAGCCCCAAAUCCUUUUCAAUAAUAGAUCACCAGUCUGUCCCUCUGCCCCAGGUCCUGUGGAAGGGUACAGCUGUUACAGACUCCACUUCUGGGAAGCAAAGAGCCACUAGUCAGAGCCUGGAAAACCACCAGGCAGAGGGCAGCCAUGGGGACAGUCCCUUCCCACACCUGGGGCCUACACUUCCCACUUGGGGCUGCUCACCUGCAUCCUGGGUGGGUGGAAGGAUGUGGAGGCUGGUUCUUGGUGUCCAUGCUGCCCCUCAGGGGACUGCGCUGCAAGUGGAGGGCUGGAGGGUGCUGAAAAGUGGGGCAGAUGGAAGGGUGGUGUCAGGGGCUGCCCACAUGAGCCAUGGCAGAUGAGGAGCUCUUCUGCUGUGUGACACGGCACGUAGCCAGCCCUUGGCUCCUGCCUCCCAGGUCCCCAUCCCAGACAGGGGCAUCCACAUUCACUUCAGGAGUCCCAGCCUUGACACACCUCUCCUGGGACUCCCACCCUAGCCAGGAAUGUCCACACUUCCUCCAGGAGUCCCUCAUCUCUGGUGGGACCCCAACCUCACCCACUUCCUGUCCAUCGACAUUGGGCUCCUCCUUCACACUGCAGCUGAGCUGGACAGACCCCUCUAUUCUGGUGUCCUGGGGACCCUCCCCAGGGGACUCCACUGUCCCUGAGGGGUGGGGGCUCCCCAGUGGUUCCUCUGUCUUCUGGGCUGCAGGGAGCACCUCCCGCUUCAGGACAUGGGCUGUGAUCUGAGGAGAAGAGGUAGGUCACAAUGGCUCUAGCCAGGGUCUAUCCCUCCAAGAAGCUGACGCCAGCCACACUCACCCAGCCCAACAGUUGCCCAGGGUCAUGCUGCAGUCCUUCGACUAGGGCAGCGGCCUCCUCAGGACUCCCUGGCCGCUGACCGCGCACCCAGGCCUGGAUCUCGGGAGGCAGUGUGCCCAGGAACUGCUCCAGCACCAGCAUCUCCAGCAUCUGCUCCUUGGAGUGUGCCUCAGGCUGCAGCCACUGGCGACACAGCUCACGCAGCCGGGCCAGGGCCUCUCGGGGACCUGCCACCUCCUGGUAGCAGAACCCUCGGAAGCGGAGGCGGGCAGUCUCAGGCUCCUCAAGGGUGGUCUCUGGGUCCAUGAGGGGCAGGCAUGGGGGACCCAGAGGGGAUGGCAUUCUUGCUCAAGGGGGUGGUCUUGGAAUCGUCAGGAUGGGCCUACAGAAAAGGAAGGGUCAGAAUGUCAGCCAAGAGAAUCUGGCCAGGGGAAGGCUGAGACCAGGACCAAGUGUACUCUGCGGCCAGAGGAGGUAAGGCCAAGAAAGCUUCAUGGAAGGAGGAGGGUCACAGGACCUAAACAAUGAUGGCAAAUGAGAGCAGGAGGAGGCCUCAGGGACAAACGCUUGGACGCAAAGUGUCCAGGGAGCUUCCUGGAAAUUGCAAACAGUUGGGUCCAACAGGGGACUGCUGGGAGAUGACGGUAAAGAGGCGGAGGACAGUCACCACAGAGUUCCAGCACCAGGCUGAGGUGCCACAGACAGUGUCCAGCCGAGAUGCGAGGAGAGUGGGCCAGGGCGGGCGGGUUCCCUGAGGGUGGAGGAGGCAGCGGGUAGAAGGUGGGGCCAGGCUGUAAUUACGGGGACGAGUCUCCCUCCACAAUCUCGGGGAUGAUGACUGGGUGGGACCUCCUUUAGGACUGGCUCUGGGGAGGGGGCACGUGGACAUCGUGCUCCCUGACCACAGCGAACCGUGGACGACUCACUGCCGGGGCCCGUGCAUGUAAAAACGAAACGCAAAGGCCAAGAAAAACGGGGCCAAAGCUCCACGUUGCCCCGAGUCGAGGGAUGGCCACAGCAUCCCGGCCCUGACGGUCUGCAGUGAAACACGCCCACCUGGACGGGCCUGAGACCAGGCCUGACACCCGGCCUCUCCGAGGGAUGCUCGAACUUCGGGAUCUGUCCCCAAAAGGGGAAGGCAAGAGGGAGGCGUUCCAAGAGGACGUGCUUGGCCCGGCCCCCCGAAACGGCGUUGAGGGGAGGAAAGGCCUGAGCGAAGGCUGAGGUGACGCGCGCGGCCUGUCGGGAAAGGGGCGGGCGGGCCCUCCAGGGCGCCGACAGCAGGAGCCGUUCAGGCCCCAGAGGGCGGCCCCAAACCCUCCCACGGGGUGGAAAGGCUGCGCCCACUCUGGCAGCCUGCGCUCACCUCAACCCGGAGCCGUUGCUUGGGGGCCGCUUCCCGAUGUGGCGCCGCCGCGCUGACCAAUCUCUCGCCUGCACCGAAGGCACCGCCCACGCCCUUUGAACUACAUUUCCCAUGAGCAUCAGCAAGACAGGCACGACCGUGACCCGCCGACCCGCAUUUGCAUCAGUCUCUGCCUGAGAGGCGCUCUGUUCCUCAGGAGGUACAGCAGAGUCCCAGAGUUAUAUGGGCUCCCUCCGCUCUGAGAGCAGCUCUUCCCAGGUUAUAAAUCUGCGCGUCUGUACAGUGGGCCGGUUCCUAUUGGCAGGUGAGGGGAGGAGGUUUUGCCCAAUCAGAGGUGGCGCUUGCUUGGCCCCGCAGCCCCCACGCCAUUCCCCGGGCCAGCCCCCAGAUAACGCUAGGGCAUAUCCGCCCGCCUCCAGCUGUUCCCGUGGCAACGUUCAGGAGCGUUGCCUCGACUUCCAAAGAGGCUGGAAGUGGCGGCCCAGUGGUUUCCUGGGUCGAGUAGUUCGCUGGGACUCGCUUCCAAGUGGUCCCGGGAGAGGCGGUGGUGUAGAAGAGCACCCUGAGCCUGGGCUUUCUCCCGCCAGGAGGGUGGGAGGGCCUUCUUUGACCUCUGUUAAGCGCCCUGAGGAGGUACCGACGGUUGUGACCGCAGUCUCUGACGUCUUCAGAUGUCAGUCCUACAAAGUCGGGGGUGCAGGUUUCCCUCCAGGCUGAUGGGACGUGCUCAGCCGUUUAUUUACCUUUUAAUUUGGGGAGCUGAACUAGCCAGGUUUACACUAGUUUCUCCCAAUAAGCAGUGUUACAGUUUUCUAAAACUGUGGGGUCAGUUUUGCUUCCACACUUAAGGUGGCCGAGCUAUGACUUAUUCAGUCCUAAAUUACACCGCCUGUUUUGGUUUCUUUGGAUACCCGGGAAUCCCUGCUGCCUGCUCUGGAUGAAGAGCAAUGGUUUUAAUCACCGAUUGGAAGCACCGAGCAUGUGCAUGGAUGAGACUAGUCAACUCGGAGCUUUCCAGAGGCCUCCUCAGGUUGUUUUUGGGGAUGAAGUGCUUACGCCUUUUCUCUGGGACUAUGCAGAGUCCCAGAAAAAAAAAAAAAAAAAAAACUUCCACCCUCCACCGUGUGGGGAGAUCACUGGGGCGUUAAGGGCUUCUUCAGUAGUUGUUCCCCAGGCAGCUUUGUUACAGGUCUCCCAUCUCUGGGCUGCUGGUUCUCAGCCUUCUGCGGUUCUAGAGUCAGCCUGGUGGGAACUCCCUCCUCUUCCCCAAGUCGUCACGCAGUAUUUGGCCUUCCUUAGUGACAGCUCUCAUCCACUUCUAGCUUAGGAAUGCCAUUGCUCCUGACUCCUCUGUCACCAUCCUCAUACUUGUGGGUUUAUGUGUUUUAAAUACUCCCCUCUAUGGUUUCAGUGGAUUUCUGAGCCCAGUAAGAUGUAUGUGUUCGGUCUGACCUUUUGACAUAGAAGCCCAGAGAUACUUUUACAGUCACUACCUAUUCAAAAUUAAGAGCAGAGGGGGAGGUUGGAGGGAGGUCAGCUGAGGGGCCAAGACCUGCGUGGAGGCGGGAGCCUAGGUUGGGGACCACUGAUCAGUCAUGGGUUUGGGGAGGAGGAGAUUGGAGGAAGGUGGACAAACUGAGGGACAACAGGGGCACAAGCAGACGUGGAAAGGAGCCUGAUGGAGGGAGGCGGCUGGUGGGAAGACAAGGUAGGGUACUGAGCCCAGCCUAAGUGGUCAGGCAGGCUCAGGGCAGAAACUUCGCUCAAGAAGCAUCUAUCAGAGGCACAGAAAUGAUUUCACGUGACUCUCUGGGUAUCUACUUGUUUGACAGAUGCUUUUGCUCCUGACUCCCAUGGGCUCCCCAGAAAAGUGCUCUUUCAGGCAGGGAAGAGUUAUUGUCUGCAUUUCACAGCUCUGCAGACUUAGUGGGGGACAGUGGUUCAGGGACCUACUGGGAUUCUGGUGGCCCAAGUCUUGCAGGCUCCAGGGCAGCUGGGUUCUGUGUGUCUCCACUCCCUGCAGGAACCUGUGAGGUUUCACAGGUGGAAGAGCCUGGCCCCAAUAUCAAGUGGGUGGGGCCUAGGUCUCGGCUCUUUGUGUAUAGGGCAUGAUAGCUGCAAGAUUUUGGAAGCCAUAGGAUACAGCGUCCACUGGGUGGAGUCAACCUUGCAGGGUCAUCACACAUGGCCACGCCCUCUAUCUCAGCAGAAGAAACACAGCCCCGCCUUGGUUUCUCCACCUACCUUCCUCCCAUUGCCAGGAUCCACCAGGACUCAUCUAGCAGAGCUGCUGCUCCAGACGGCCCCACUCUAUCCCGUUUCAGCCAGCUCCUGGCUACCCGGACCCACCUCUGGCCCUGAAAAGGAUACAGGUAUCCCACUCCCUCCCUGGGCUGCAGACAGGCUGUAUCUCUACUCUGUGGCCUCUUGAGGGUACCCAGGUUGAAGCCAAGUCCAGGAACUUCUGUGAUGAUGACAAACGCUGAUGGCAUGUCAGGGUAUGUUCAAUACCAUCUGCAUUGUAUGAGGGUGAAAUAGGUGUCAGGUUGCUACCAUUCACACAAAUGUUUAAAAAGAAACCUUUAUCAGAGAAGCUCUUCAACUGUUAAGACUGAACCAUGCUCUGGAGUAGGGACAAGAGGCUGUGCUCUGGAGGUCCAAACUGCUGUACAGGAAACUGCAACAUCUACUCUCAGUUGCAGAUGGUAGUUUUUUUUUUUUUUUUUUUCCCAUUAAGGAGAACAUGAAUUUCCUUGGAAGUGAGGCUCCAGGUAGGGACAGGGACUGGUCUGCUGAAGGCCACAGGAAGCAAA
Molecule: long non-coding RNA, 7722 nt
Organism: Symphalangus syndactylus (siamang)
Lineage: Eukaryota; Metazoa; Chordata; Mammalia; Primates; Hylobatidae
Source: RefSeq, a predicted model, not a curated record